UUCGGUGUGGUGCAACGGCUAGCAUACCUCGCUUUCACUGAUUUGUCGCGACGAUCCGAGGAGGUCGGGGUUCGAUUCCCCGCACCGAAG
This is a non-coding RNA of Russula brevipes, 90 nucleotides long. Lineage: Eukaryota; Fungi; Basidiomycota; Agaricomycetes; Russulales; Russulaceae. The record is from the annotation of a GenBank genome assembly.